GAUUAAGAUUUUGCCACCCUGAAUAUGCCCAAUCUCAUCUGAUUUCAGAAGCUAAGCAGGGUCUGGCCUGGUUAGUACUUGGAUAGGAGACCACCUAGGAAUACCAGGUGUUGUAGGCA
This 119-nucleotide ribosomal RNA is filed under the name Pteropus alecto (black flying fox). The record is from RNAcentral. Lineage: Eukaryota; Metazoa; Chordata; Mammalia; Chiroptera; Pteropodidae.